Molecule: ribosomal RNA, 300 nt
Filed under: uncultured soil bacterium
Lineage: Bacteria
Description: bacterial SSU rRNA
Rfam family: Bacterial small subunit ribosomal RNA
Source: RNAcentral
AGAACGAACGCCGGCGGCAUGCCUAACACAUGCAAGUCGAACGAGACCUUCGGGUCUAGUGGCGCACGGGUGCGUAACGCGUGGGAAUCUGCCCUUGGGUUCGGAAUAACAGUUGGAAACGACUGCUAAUACCGGAUGAUGACGUAAGUCCAAAGAUUUAUCGCCCAGGGAUGAGCCCGCGUAGGAUUAGCUAGUUGGUGAGGUAAAGGCUCGACCAAGGCGACGAUCCUUAGCUGGACUGAGAGGAUGAUCAGCCACACGUGGGACUGAGACACGGCCCAGACUCCGUACGGGAGGCAG